Molecule: long non-coding RNA, 298 nt
Filed under: Elaeis guineensis (African oil palm)
Lineage: Eukaryota; Viridiplantae; Streptophyta; Magnoliopsida; Arecales; Arecaceae
Description: long non-coding RNA (EGUI_LNC080158)
Source: RNAcentral
GCUAUGCAACCCAAGAGGGGGGGGUGAAUUGGGUUUCUAAAAAUUUUAAGCUUAACUUAUGACUUAUGAAAAAUAUUUGGCAAUAGCUAAAUGAAUAUGGAGAGUUAAAUUAAUUCAGGACUAAUGACUAAAAGCAAGAAUGCAAGAAAAUAAUGAAGAGUUAAAGGAAAGCAAAUAUGCACACCACAAACAAAAGGAUUUAUAGUGGUUCAGUGCCAACCUUGCACCUACAUCCACUCCCCAAGCUCCUACUUGGGAAUUCUAAUCCACUAAUCUUGUAUUCAACCCGAAUACAAAC